ACUAUAUUUUAUUGCAUAAUAUUUUUAAUUUGAGUUAUUUUUGUAAAAUAAUUUGUUAAAAUUUAUUGGCUCAAUUCAUCCAAUUUUAUUUGCUAUAAAAAGUGAUUAAAUUUUUUUAAGUUUGAAGUAAUUAUUAGUAUUUGAUAAAAGUUUUAAUUUUUAAAUCAAAUUAAUUCUUAAAAUUUUAAGUUUAGGAGAGGGGCAUGUAGUAGAAGAGUCUGUGAAUGU
RNAcentral lists this long non-coding RNA (228 nucleotides) under Ananas comosus (pineapple). RNAcentral's name for it is "long non-coding RNA (ACOM_LNC021860)". Lineage: Eukaryota; Viridiplantae; Streptophyta; Magnoliopsida; Poales; Bromeliaceae. The record is from RNAcentral.